AGUGAACGCUGGCGGUAGGCCUAACACAUGCAAGUCGAACGGCAGCACAGUAAGAGCUUGCUCUUACGGGUGGCGAGUGGCGGACGGGUGAGGAAUACAUCGGAAUCUACUUUUUCGUGGGGGAUAACGUAGGGAAACUUACGCUAAUACCGCAUACGACCUACGGGUGAAAGCAGGGGAUCUUCGGACCUUGCGCGAUUGAAUGAGCCGAUGUCGGAUUAGCUAGUUGGCGGGGUAAAGGCCCACCAAGGCGACGAUCCGUAGCUGGUCUGAGAGGAUGAUCAGCCACACUGGAACUGAGACACGGCCCAGACUCCGACGGAAGGCAGCAGUGGGGAAUAUUGGACAAUGGGCGCAAGCCUGAUCCAGCCAUACCGCGUGGGUGAAGAAGGCCUUCGGGUUGUAAAGCCCUUUUGUUGGGAAAGAAAAGCAGCAGGUUAAUACCCCGCUGUUCUGACGGUACCCAAAGAAUAAGCACCGGCUAACUUCGG
Molecule: ribosomal RNA, 491 nt
Filed under: uncultured bacterium
Lineage: Bacteria
Description: partial 16S ribosomal RNA
Rfam family: Bacterial small subunit ribosomal RNA
Source: RNAcentral